This 69-nucleotide transfer RNA is filed under the name Megathymus yuccae yuccae. Its description in RNAcentral is "tRNA-Ala". The record is from RNAcentral. Lineage: Eukaryota; Metazoa; Arthropoda; Insecta; Lepidoptera; Hesperiidae.
AGGAUUAUAGUUUAAUUAAAACAUUUGAUUUGCAUUCAAAAAAUAUUAUAAAUUUUAUAAUUUAUCUUA